This is a long non-coding RNA of Syngnathus acus (greater pipefish), 386 nucleotides long. RefSeq lists it as uncharacterized. The record is from RefSeq and is a predicted model, not a curated record. The transcript has 2 exons. NCBI's taxonomy places the organism in Eukaryota, Metazoa, Chordata, Actinopteri, Syngnathiformes, Syngnathidae.
UGCAUGAGUGAUGGAGGAGAAGGGAGGUACGAAGAAAGAUGGGAGGGAGUCGUAGGCGCAUUCUGGGGAGGAAAGAGGAGCCGCGCGGAAAAUACAACAAGUGAGGAAACUGUUGCUCUGCAUGCAAGCUCGCUUUGCGGCGGAAGUCUCGUCAACUUGUCAGAAUUGAAGUCACUCAUUAAAGUGACAUUCAUCCAUUCGUUUCCACCGUGUUUCUUGCCAUAGUUCUUUUUAAAUAGUUAAAAAAAAAAAAAAAAAGCAAGUUUGCAUCGCAGCUCAACUUCAGUCGGCGCACUCGUUUGGAGGUUUUUAUUCCUGCAUCAUGAGGGAGGAAACGAACGAACACCCACGAUCAUAAAGAUUGCCGUGAUGUCCAAAACGGCUUC